RNAcentral lists this ribosomal RNA (510 nucleotides) under uncultured bacterium. RNAcentral's name for it is "bacterial SSU rRNA". It matches the Rfam family "Bacterial small subunit ribosomal RNA", at positions 29 to 518 of the family's 1533-position model. The record is from RNAcentral.
AACGAAUGCUGGCGGCGUGCUUAACACAUGCAAGUCGAACGCGAAAGGGACUUCGGUCCUGAGUAAGUGGCGCACGGGUGAGUAACGCGUAGAUAACCUGUCUUCAUGUCUGGAAUAAUACGCCGAAAGGGGUACUAAUACCGGAUAUUCUUGCUUUUCAUAAGUUAUGCAAGCAAAGGUGGCCUCUGCAUAUGCUACUGCAUGAAGAGGGGUCUGCGUACCAUUAGCUAGUAGGUGGGGUAAUGGCCUACCUAGGCGACGAUGGUUAGCGGGUCUGAGAGGAUGAUCCGCCACACUGGCACUGGAACACGGGCCAGACUCCUACGGGAGGCAGCAGUGAGGAAUAUUGCGCAAUGGGGGAAACCCUGACGCAGCGACGCCGCGUGAGUGAAGGAAGGCCUUCGGGUCGUAAAGCUCUGUCAAGAGGAAAGAAGUGUACAAUGGCUAAUACCUGUUGUAUUUGACGGUACCUCUAAAGGAAGCACCGGCUAACUCCGUGCCAGCAGCCGC